This 253-nucleotide ribosomal RNA is filed under the name uncultured bacterium. Its description in RNAcentral is "partial 16S ribosomal RNA". It matches the Rfam family "Bacterial small subunit ribosomal RNA", at positions 524 to 776 of the family's 1533-position model. The record is from RNAcentral.
UACGUAGGCAGCGAGCGUUGUUCGGAGUUACUGGGCGUAAAGGGUGUGUAGGCGGCUCCCUAAGUUUGGUGUGAAAUCUCCCGGCUCAACUGGGAGGGUGCGCCGAAUACUGAAUGACUUGGAGUGCGGGAGAGGAGAGUGGAAUUCCGGUGUAGCGGUGAAAUGCGUAGAUAUCGGAAGGAACACCUGUGGCGAAAGCGGCUCACUGGACCAUAACUGACGCUGAGGCGCGAAAGCUAGGGGAGCAAACAGG